This is a long non-coding RNA of Zea mays, 784 nucleotides long. RefSeq lists it as uncharacterized. The record is from RefSeq and is marked validated. NCBI's taxonomy places the organism in Eukaryota, Viridiplantae, Streptophyta, Magnoliopsida, Poales, Poaceae. The transcript is spliced from 2 exons.
CGCGUAGAAGAGAAGAGGCACUUCUUCCUCCUCGCCGGCUUCCCCUCGCGUGUCGCAAGUGCUUUACCCUACACCGUGGCCCGUGGAUCGUCGCCGGACGCCAGGCAUCGGCAAGCGGCAGCGCAGCCGUCCACCCUGAGUCCCUGAUUUUGCCAAGCAUCUUCACGUUUGCAGCGUUUCGGCCGCUUAAGCGCAGUGUAUGUCUUUGCAAGAAAGAUGAUGAUGUCAGCUCGAUCGGAACAGAUUAACUGCUGCUGCAAUAACCCACUCAGAGCACCUACAUCUGCUACUGCAGAAAACAGACAGCGGAGCAAGCCACACGGAAAUGAGCAACAAAGAAUGGUUUUGAAAUUUCAGUAUGGUACAGAAGCAUGGUGGACAGCACCAGCACAGCAUGUGGCCGUGAAAUAGAAGCAGCAAGUUACAGAUACUCUUUAUACAGGUACAUGUGCAUACACCAACCGUGGCCCAGACACUUCUGUCCAGGCGGGCACUGUUUGUUCAGUGUUAUCCGUGUCGGAUUAUUCUGCCACUAUGAGCAGGCCUUUCCUCCGAAGAGUUUCACAUGUGUUGGAGAUGCUACUCUAAAAUCAUCAUCUCCAGGUAUGGGGGAGAAGUGAAAAAGUAUCAUCUCGACUCCCACAACAAGGUCUCAAAGAAUAAUUUACACGUAUUUUGGUCCUGCAGAAUCAGAGGAAGUUCAGUAGGUGCGAAGCCACAAGGCAAAUAAUAAUUUGUUUGGUAUUGCAAUCGAGGGAGCAGGAUGCGUAUCCUUUUAUUUACC